CCUACGGGAGGCUGCAGUGAGGAAUAUUGGUCAAUGGACGAGAGUCUGAACCAGCCAAGUAGCGUGAAGGAUGACUGCCCUAUGGGUUGUAAACUUCUUUUAUAUGGGAAUAAAAUGUUCCACGUGUGGGAUUUUGUAUGUACCAUAUGAAUAAGGAUCGGCUAACUCCGUGCCAGCAGCCGCGGUAAUACGGAGGAUCCGAGCGUUAUCCGGAUUUAUUGGGUUUAAAGGGAGCGUAGGUGGAUUGUUAAGUCAGUUGUGAAAGUUUGCGGCUCAACCGGAAAAUUGCAGUUGAAACUGGCAGUCUUGAGUACAGUAGAGGUGGGCGGAAGUCGUGGUGUAGCGGUGAAAUGCUUAGAUAUCACGAAGAACUCCGAUUGCGAAGGCAGUUCACUGGACUGCAACUGACACUGAGGCUCGAAAGUGUGGGUAUCAAACAGGAUUAGAUACCCGAGUAGUC
This 460-nucleotide ribosomal RNA is filed under the name uncultured bacterium. Its description in RNAcentral is "partial 16S ribosomal RNA". It matches the Rfam family "Bacterial small subunit ribosomal RNA", at positions 338 to 795 of the family's 1533-position model. The record is from RNAcentral.